UAAACUCUUUCUUUAUAAUUUUUCUUUGUUCUUUUUUUUUUUUCUUUUUCUGGUCAAUGACUGCCCUGUACAAUGUGAAAUAUUGCUCUUUAUAUAUCAGUUCGUGCCUUAUAAAGAACACCCCAAUAAGACUAGCUAGAUACUUCAAUUUCUUUGCCAAUGGCUUUUUCAUGUAGCUUAGUGCCCAAAACCAUGCUAAUAUUUCCCAGCUUCAAGCCAGGUCUACUGAUCAAGACAAUAAUAGCCAUGAGAUGCAUAAAUACAACAAGGAGGCCACCACCAAAGCCACCCCUAAAAAAUAAACCGCCACAGAACAAUAAUUACAAAGACAAGAAAGAGACUCCGAUGACAGAGGAGAAGAGUAACACAAAGCCCCAAGAAGAUAAUUCAAUGGUCAAAACAAAUUAACUAGGAAUCUUGUUUGUUAAAGAUCAUAAUAAGUGUACUUGGUCUAACGUUAGUCAAGUACAACAUGCUUACUCUUUAUUAUCAGUGAAACUAGUAGCAAAAAAGCGGUGAUGCAUGCCCACCGCCCCCCCCCCCCACCCCACAACCAAACCCCACCCAAACAUAUUAGAAGUAGUAUGAUAUUUUAUUUUGUCGUACGUGCUUGUGUGGUAAAAUUCACAAAUUGCCACGUUUCAGUUGUUGUUGAAAAAUAAUCAAAUUCACGGAGUUUUAAAUUUCACAAAUAAAACUUCAGGACAUUGUCAAGGAAUAUCACAUGUGAAAUUUGAAAUUUCAUGACAAUGGUUAUUUUUCAAAAACAGAACUGAAAAGUGGCAAGUGAGGCGCUAUUACUGUUGUGUGCUUGUAUUGUCCUUCUGUUUCCUAUUUUCCUUUGGUUAUCCUAUUAGGGGUUGUUUAGUUCGUUUACAAGUUAUGCGGAAAUUGUAAUAUAUGAAUUGCAAUGUAGGCGUCUACUUGUUGA
This is a long non-coding RNA of Lycium ferocissimum, 931 nucleotides long. RefSeq lists it as uncharacterized. The transcript has 2 exons. The record is from RefSeq and is a predicted model, not a curated record. NCBI's taxonomy places the organism in Eukaryota, Viridiplantae, Streptophyta, Magnoliopsida, Solanales, Solanaceae.